CGCGCCCGCCCCGCCCCCGCCCCCCCCCCCCCCCCAGCCGCUGCCGUCCGUCCUGCCGCUUUCACAGCAGCUGCAGGCAAGGCCACGCUUUCCUCUUCUCACCUCCUCCCCGAUUAUUUAUUAUGGCUUGCUCCACCUCUGCCUGCGAGCGCGCAGCCUGGGCGUUAGGUAGGCUUUCCAUUUCCUCUUGCGUGCGGCCCCCCGCGCCUCUCCCCGGCUGCCCCAAAAGAUGCCAUCUCAUCCUUUUAAGUUCCGUAAUGUGGGCACCCUGGGGACAUCGCUGUUGCCUUUCCAGACUAAAGGUUGCGUUUCCAGACGUGUUUUGUGUCCCUGAAGCCCUUUAAAGGUAGUGCUGCGUUACAUGGGUCGGAGUCGAUGUUUUCUCUAAGCCGGCUUUAGCCCGAGCAGUUUUGCAGCAGGAGGAAACGCUAUGAGUUGCCCACAAUGUCAAGCAUGGAACUCUUUAGGAAGAAAAUUAAUGCAUCCUUGGACUCCUGAAGGAAGAGCCUUCCUGAUGGGACCAUUUUCAAGCUGUUUUGUGACAAGGAACACUCUCCUCCUGUAUUACUUUUGUGAUAUGGGAACAUCAAUGACAGCAGUGGAAGAGAGUUGGAGGAGCUGUGGAAUUAGAUUGUGUUCAGCUAAUAAACCUUCAUGCUGAAAUGGGCAAUUGCAAAGCUGUAUAUUCCAAAAGGAGAAGUGGAGUUGUGUAUAUUGUGUACGUAUGCAAUGUUAGCACUUAAAUCAAGAAGAUCUUUCUAGCUUUCUCCUUUGUAGCCAUCUUAAGAGGCCCUGGAUAGUCCUAGUGUUUGGUUUCUCUGCUUGAGGCAGAGAGACCAGGCAAUUGCAGGCUUUGGAGAGGCAGAAUGAAACCUUGGCCUGUCCCCCUAUAAAUUGCUAGGAUUUAACCAACUGCCACACACAACAGGAUUGGGCAAAGGGCACCCAGAUCUGCAGUUCUGGAGGCAUUUUGCCCUUGGUGACACAGAUGCUGGAUUUGCUGGUAUACGAUACCUUUUGGUACUGCAGCAGUCCGUCAUUCCUGUUAUCCGUCUUUAAUUUAUGCAGCUAUCUAGAGCCUUUUGCACUAAGAAUUUAUACAUGUUCUAUACAACAUGCAAUGUUCCUGAGCUUAGCUCUGAAAACUGUAGGAGACCUUUCAUAAAGUAUUGAUGUUGUUCAGUAUAUGAAUGUAAAAACAGAAAAGGAAUGACUGUAUUGCAAAUUCAAAAAAACCUCUUAAAAUAUGAAUAGAUUAGCAGCAUUUUAUGCUGACUGUAAAUAUCAUGGAUGAGACCCACUCUAGUUUGUAAAAUGUAACCAUUGGGGAGAUUCAGUAGGCUUUUACUUCCUGUCAUAGAACGAUUCCUGUUGAUUUACAUCGAGAAACGUGUGUUACAAAUACUUCUGGAGCUGCUUUUGACCUGUUGCCAUGUUUGAACAUUUUUUGCCGUAUCUGGAACAGUAUGCACAUCAUAGAACAUUAAAAAAAAAAAAUUAGGUUACAUUAAAGUUUUUUUUAUGUUAAGCAUAAUGUUUGAGAAUUGUAUAUGGCUCUGGCUAGGGUUUUGGAAAGCUGUACUUAACCCAAACAAUUUUAGGCUAAAUUUGGAAUUGCAUACAUAUUCAGUUAUUGAAUUAUUUACAAUAUGUUACAUAUCUGUAUUGGAUAAGUAACUCUUACUUGAAAAACGGGCUUUUUGACUUGUCUUUGACUUGACAAGCUGAGCUACCCAAUGGUCCACAGUACUGCAUGUGCUGUGAUUGCCAAAUAGCUGUCUUGACCAAUUAAAUUACUUCUUAAUAUUCUUUCUACUCUGAAAAAUACCUGUAUUCUUAAAAUCUUCUGAAUUAAAUAGUACAAAUAUUGUUAGACUUACUGUGGACUUUGUUUUUCCAACUGUGUUUGGGUCUACACUAUGAAUUGGCCUGUGUCUUGCAGACAUGUAGCUAUCAGACUGUAUGCUAAAUAUGAGCUCAGGUCUUUGCUUAGGCUAUUGUACUGCAGCACUCUAAAGAAGUUCUUUGUAACAGAACAAAUGGACAGUUAGCCCAUAUUGGGUUUGCAAGGAGCUUCAGAAACUACAGUCACACUCUAAUAUAGUUAUUAAAUAUUGAAAUCAUUUAUUUUUCUGGUACUUGGACAUGUAAAAAGCAUUAAGAUUCAGCAAUACUUAAAUGCAAAGGAAAAUAUUGAUCAUGAUUUGGAAAUGUGCUAUUAGUUAUGGAAUAAUGUUAUAAUUUUUCAUCUUUUACUGUUUAAAAAUUAAUCCGUUCCUUUUCUCUCUGUGGCUUAAAAGGCUUUGUUGUGCAAGCUGGAGGCUCAAGGCGGGGAGCCUCCUGGUUCUUUUCUGUUCAAGAAGUAGCUUUGGAGAGUAUAUUGAUGGCAAGGGGCUCGUGGAGUUCUGUCUCUUCUUUGUAUGAACUUCCUAUGUACCCUAAAGUUUCCUCCUUGUUCUGUAGCUAAUGUUUUGAAAACCAAUGGAACAAUAUGCAGAAGGGCGUACUCCUCAAAAUGAGUAGUUCCAGAAUCUGACCCCCUUGGCAUCAGCCAUCAGAAUAACUCUGGGAGCAGAACUGUGAAUUCUGUUUUCUUGUGUUUGCACUCGUAAUUCUCAAAAUUAUGAUUAUUUCUAAUUUUCUUCAAUUAAAAAUAAAUUUAAA
Struthio camelus australis is the source of this 2664-nucleotide long non-coding RNA. The record is from Ensembl. Lineage: Eukaryota; Metazoa; Chordata; Aves; Struthioniformes; Struthionidae.